UGGGGAAUAUUGGACAAUGGGCGAAAGCCUGAUCCAGCAAUGCCGCGUGAGGGAUGACGGCCUUCGGGUUGUAAACCUCUUUCACCAGGGGCGAAGCGUGAGUGACGGUACCUGGAGAAGAAGCACCGGCCAACUACGUGCCAGCAGCCGCGGUAAUACGUAGGGUGCUAGCGUUGUCCGGAAUUAUUGGGCGUAAAGAGCUCGUAGGUGGUGUGUCGCGUCGGCUGUGAAAUCCCGGGGCUUAACUCCGGGCGGGCAGUCGAUACGGGCAGACUGGAGUACUGCAGGGGAGACUGGAAUUCCUGGUGUAGCGGUGAAAUGCGCAGAUAUCAGGAGGAACACUGGUGGCGAAGGCGGGUCUCUGGGCAGUAACUGACGCUGAGGAGCGAAAGCGUGGGGAGCGAACAGGAUUAGAUACCC
RNAcentral lists this ribosomal RNA (420 nucleotides) under uncultured bacterium. RNAcentral describes it as "bacterial SSU rRNA". It matches the Rfam family "Bacterial small subunit ribosomal RNA", at positions 355 to 787 of the family's 1533-position model. The record is from RNAcentral.